UACGUAGGGGGCAAGCAUUGUCCGGAUUUAUUGGGCAUAAAGGGCGCGUAGGCGGUAUUUUAAGUCAGGUGUUAAAGGCUUCAGCUUAACUGAAGUUCGCCCCUGAAACUGAAGUACUAGAGGUUAGUAGAGGAAAGCGGAACUCACAGUGUAGCGGUGAAAUGCGUAGAUAUUGUGAGGAACAUCAGUUGCGAAGGCGGCUUUCUGGCCUGAUCCUGACGCUGAGGCGCGAAAGUGUGGGGAGCAAACGGG
RNAcentral lists this ribosomal RNA (252 nucleotides) under uncultured bacterium. Its description in RNAcentral is "partial 16S ribosomal RNA". It matches the Rfam family "Bacterial small subunit ribosomal RNA", at positions 524 to 776 of the family's 1533-position model. The record is from RNAcentral.